GGGAAAGGUAGGUAUUAUAUAAAGGGAAAGAAACAUAAGUAGAGGAGAAGACAAUUCUUUCCCAAUACUUCUUCGCAUGUGCAGUAUCCUGCAAUGCAGUCCUAGUCAAUAAAUAGCUGAAAUGACAAACUUGAAGAAGAAAUUAAGCCUUCAAUCACGUUAUUUCGAUCAAACAACGGAACAGGAAAGCUUAUUUUAAACGUCAAGGAUCAUCAGAGAGCAUGACCCAUUCACAUUCU
Molecule: unclassified non-coding RNA, 239 nt
Filed under: Hevea brasiliensis (rubber tree)
Lineage: Eukaryota; Viridiplantae; Streptophyta; Magnoliopsida; Malpighiales; Euphorbiaceae
Source: RNAcentral